Long non-coding RNA from Tigriopus californicus, 676 nucleotides. RefSeq lists it as uncharacterized. NCBI's taxonomy places the organism in Eukaryota, Metazoa, Arthropoda, Copepoda, Harpacticoida, Harpacticidae. The transcript has 2 exons. The record is from RefSeq and is a predicted model, not a curated record.
GGUAAUGUAGAAUAGAAAGGUCGGAUUUCCAUCACUCCAGAAAUUUGACUUAUGGUCUCCCGUGUCCAGAGCACACGCCGGGCUAAGUUUGGGACACUGAGUGAAGUAUCCCACCCCCUUUCAAUGUCGGGUCUGAUUGUUCAACGUGCCCUCCUUUGGCGUAUAUUUGUGAUUCAGGGCCUCAUAUCGAACAUACACCGAUCUCAUCAUCGGCCCAGUAUGUGGGCUUUCAUCCAAUUGGAAAUUUCGGAAAAUUGACCUUGGUACAACCCUUGAUAAAUGAUCUACUGAGCUGUCAUUAUGGGCAAAGAUGACGAUGGAUAGUACUAUGGUGGAUGUGGAAGGGGAGAGGAAGAAGGCGGCAACGACGACGAGUCAAGUUGUGGAGUACUUUUCUUCCGGGACCCAGUAAAGAAUCCAUGCCAAAAAUGUAUUCUUGAGCCGACAAGGACAACGAGGCGCUUUGAAAAAGAGGAAGGAGACAAUUGGACCAACCGGGGCUCUGAAGGUCCCCUCAUUUGAACCAAGUUGUGUAGCCAAAGGACGACACGACGCCUAAAGAUUUGAUUAAUUGCUCGUUUAUCAGCGGAAAGCUAUCACAUGUGUGUACUUAUUCUUAGAUUGGAACUAUGACUCGACAAAAUGUAGGCCAAGCUGGGGCCAAACUACAAAAGUA